UGGGGAAUAUUGCACAAUGGGGGAAACCCUGAUGCAGCGACGCCGCGUGAACGAAGAAGGUAUUCGUAUCGUAAAGUUCUGUCCUAUGGGAAGAUAAUGACAGUACCAUAGAAGAAAGCUCCGGCUAAAUACGUGCCAGCAGCCGCGGUAAUACGUAUGGAGCGAGCGUUGUCCGGAAUUAUUGGGCGUAAAGGGUACGCAGGCGGUUUAAUAAGUCGAAUGUUAAAGAUCGGGGCUCAACCCCGUAAAGCAUUGGAAACUGAUAAACUUGAGUAGUGGAGAGGAAAGUGGAAUUCCUAGUGUAGUGGUGAAAUACGUAGAUAUUAGGAGGAAUACCAGUAGCGAAGGCGACUUUCUGGCCACAAACUGACGCUGAGGUACGAAAGCGUGGGGAGCAAACAGG
Molecule: ribosomal RNA, 403 nt
Filed under: Actinomycetes bacterium
Lineage: Bacteria; Bacillati; Actinomycetota; Actinomycetes
Description: Actinobacteria bacterium partial 16S ribosomal RNA
Rfam family: Bacterial small subunit ribosomal RNA
Source: RNAcentral